RNAcentral lists this ribosomal RNA (253 nucleotides) under uncultured bacterium. RNAcentral's name for it is "partial 16S ribosomal RNA". It matches the Rfam family "Bacterial small subunit ribosomal RNA", at positions 524 to 776 of the family's 1533-position model. The record is from RNAcentral.
UACGUAGGGGGCGAGCGUUGUCCGGAGUUACUGGGCGUAAAGGGCACGCAGGCGGUGCGGCGCGUUUCGCGUGACAGCGGAGGGCUUAACUCUCCGAGGAUGCGAAAGACGGCGGCACUUGAGGGCCAGAGAGGGACACGGAAUUCCGGGUGGAGUGGUGAAAUGCGUAGAGAUCCGGAGGAACACCGAAGGCGAAGGCAGUGUCCUGGCGGGUGACUGACGCUGAGGUGCGAAGGCGUGGGGAGCGAACGGG